AUACGUAGGGGGCGAGCGUUGUCCGGAAUGAUUGGGCGUAAAGGGCGCGUAGGCGGCCUGUUAAGUCUGGAGUGAAAGUCCUGUUUUCAAGAUGGGAAUUGCUUUGGAUACUGAUGGGCUUGAGUGCAGGAGAGGUUAUCGGAAUUCCCGGUGUAGCGGUGAAAUGCGUAGAGAUCGGGAGGAACACCAGUGGCGAAGGCGGGUAACUGGACUGCAACUGACGCUGAGGCGCGAAAGUGUGUGGAGCAAACAGGAUUAGAUACCCUGGUAGUCCACACUGUAAACGAUGAAUGCUAGGUGUAAGAGGUAUCGACUCCCUCUGUGCCGCAGUUAACACAAUAAGUAUUCCGCCUGGGGAGUACGGCCGCAAGGUUGAAACUCAAAUGAAUUGACGGGG
RNAcentral lists this ribosomal RNA (397 nucleotides) under uncultured bacterium. RNAcentral describes it as "partial 16S ribosomal RNA". It matches the Rfam family "Bacterial small subunit ribosomal RNA", at positions 523 to 918 of the family's 1533-position model. The record is from RNAcentral.